GGCCUGGUGGUGUAGAGGCAACACAUCCUUCUCAAUAUAUAGUUUCAAGAAACAGCAAUUUCCGAGGGAACGCCCUGUUCGAUUCAGGGCCAGGCCU
Molecule: non-coding RNA, 97 nt
Organism: Mycena polygramma
Lineage: Eukaryota; Fungi; Basidiomycota; Agaricomycetes; Agaricales; Mycenaceae
Source: the annotation of a GenBank genome assembly